Molecule: non-coding RNA, 287 nt
Organism: Pelobates cultripes (western spadefoot toad)
Lineage: Eukaryota; Metazoa; Chordata; Amphibia; Anura; Pelobatidae
Source: the annotation of a GenBank genome assembly
GUAAUCUUCAUGCAGAUCUGAAUGAAUAGUGUCUCCAAGACGAUGAAGUCUGUAAUUAUUAAAGAAUGUAGAAAUGUGGAGAGAAAUAGGACACUUUCUGGAUGAUGGGCACAAUAUGGUAUAAUCAUUGGAAAAGGCUGUUCUGACUGUAAUUAUAAAAUCCUGGCUUGUUAACUCCUUCAUUUCAGUGCCGAUUAUCGUGGUAAGCAAAUGUGAUUCAUCGUAAUAUGAAUGAUAUUAAUCUCUCAAUGCAGUGUUAUAUUAUGCACAUUUUUCAGUGUUAGACU